AACGAACGCUGGCGGCAUGCCUAACACAUGCAAGUCGAACGAGACCUUCGGGUCUAGUGGCGCACGGGUGCGUAACGCGUGGGAACCUGCCCUUAGGUUCGGAAUAACUCCCCGAAAGGGGUGCUAAUACCGGAUAAUGUCUUCGGACCAAAGAUUUAUCGCCUUUGGAUGGGCCCGCGUUGGAUUAGCUAGUUGGUAGGGUAAAAGCCUACCAAGGCGACGAUCCAGAGCUGGUCGGAGAGGAUGAUCAGCCACACUGGGACUGAGACACGGCCCAGAAUCCUACGGAAGGCAGCAGUGGGGAAUAUAGGACAAUGGGCGAAAGCCUGAUCCAGCAAUGCCGCGUGAGUGAUGAAGGCCUUAGGGUUGUAAAGCUCUUUUACCCGGGAUGAUAAUGACAGUACCGGGAGAAUAAGCACCGGCUAACUCCGUG
RNAcentral lists this ribosomal RNA (433 nucleotides) under uncultured bacterium. RNAcentral describes it as "partial 16S ribosomal RNA". It matches the Rfam family "Bacterial small subunit ribosomal RNA", at positions 29 to 507 of the family's 1533-position model. The record is from RNAcentral.